UGCCCAGCAACUCCUAUCCCUACCUUCUCGUGGUACUGGCCGGGGUACGGGUAACCUUGGGGAAGAUCGGGUAACUAACCCCCGGUGGGAACUUUGGUCGUAUGCUGACAGGGAAGG
This is a non-coding RNA of Aedes aegypti (yellow fever mosquito), 117 nucleotides long. The record is from Rfam. NCBI's taxonomy places the organism in Eukaryota, Metazoa, Arthropoda, Insecta, Diptera, Culicidae.